This 65-nucleotide transfer RNA is filed under the name Dorcadia ioffi. Its description in RNAcentral is "tRNA-Thr". The record is from RNAcentral. Lineage: Eukaryota; Metazoa; Arthropoda; Insecta; Siphonaptera; Vermipsyllidae.
GUUUUAAUAGUUUAAAUAAAAAUUUUGGUCUUGUAAAUCAAAGAUAAAUAUUAAUUUUUAAAACU